Molecule: long non-coding RNA, 299 nt
Filed under: Olea europaea (common olive)
Lineage: Eukaryota; Viridiplantae; Streptophyta; Magnoliopsida; Lamiales; Oleaceae
Description: long non-coding RNA (OEUR_LNC001757)
Source: RNAcentral
UGGUUUUGUCUCUUUAUUCUUCUUCUCUUCUCUUUUCUUCCUUUUGGAUUGAUUCAACAUAUUGGUUUAAGAUAGAUCAUAUUGUUAUCAUGGUAUCACAACCUAUAAUUGAGUGAAAUUUGUGAUUGGGGCGUGCUGGAAAUCAAAACAGAAAUCAGGCGAAGAAAGUUCUCGCAAAAAAUCUAAUCGAUCACAACUUAAAAUCAAGAUUCCAACCAAACUGGAGACCCGUUGAGAAAACUGAGACCAGAUCCUUGUUCAACUAGUUGAGACAAAACUUUUGGUCAAGCGUGUGUCGG